RNAcentral lists this ribosomal RNA (254 nucleotides) under uncultured bacterium. RNAcentral describes it as "partial 16S ribosomal RNA". It matches the Rfam family "Bacterial small subunit ribosomal RNA", at positions 524 to 776 of the family's 1533-position model. The record is from RNAcentral.
UACGUAGGGGGCGAGUGUUGUCCGAAGUUACUGGGCGUAAAGCGCGCGUAGGCGGUUUCUUAAGUCUGGUGUGAAAGGUUCAGGGCUCAACCCGAACAGUGCACUGGAUACUGGGAGACUUGAGUAUGGGAGAGGAGAGCGGAAUUCCUGGUGUAGCGGUGAAAUGCGUAGAUAUCAGGAGGAACACCGAUGGCGAAGGCAGCUCUCUGGCCUGUAACUGACGCUGAGGUGCGAAAGCGUGGGGAGCAAACAGG